Molecule: ribosomal RNA, 518 nt
Filed under: fungal endophyte
Lineage: Eukaryota; Fungi
Description: eukaryotic LSU rRNA
Rfam family: 5.8S ribosomal RNA (bases 190-343)
Source: RNAcentral
CAGCGGAGGGAUCAUUACUGAGUUUACGCUCUACAACCCUUUGUGAACAUACCUAUAACUGUUGCUUCGGCGGGUAGGGUCUCCGUGACCCUCCCGGCCUCCCGCCCCCGGGCGGGUCGGCGCCCGCCGGAGGAUAACCAAACUCUGAUUUAACGACGUUUCUUCUGAGUGGUACAAGCAAAUAAUCAAAACUUUUAACAACGGAUCUCUUGGUUCUGGCAUCGAUGAAGAACGCAGCGAAAUGCGAUAAGUAAUGUGAAUUGCAGAAUUCAGUGAAUCAUCGAAUCUUUGAACGCACAUUGCGCCCGCCAGCAUUCUGGCGGGCAUGCCUGUUCGAGCGUCAUUUCAACCCUCAAGCUCUGCUUGGUGUUGGGGCCCUACAGCUGAUGUAGGCCCUCAAAGGUAGUGGCGGACCCUCCCGGAGCCUCCUUUGCGUAGUAACUUUACGUCUCGCACUGGGAUCCGGAGGGACUCUUGCCGUAAAACCCCCAAUUUUCCAAAGGUUGACCUCGGAUCAG